This 242-nucleotide ribosomal RNA is filed under the name Escherichia coli. RNAcentral describes it as "partial 23S ribosomal RNA". It matches the Rfam family "Bacterial large subunit ribosomal RNA", at positions 2701 to 2925 of the family's 2925-position model. Lineage: Bacteria; Pseudomonadati; Pseudomonadota; Gammaproteobacteria; Enterobacterales; Enterobacteriaceae. The record is from RNAcentral.
ACGCAUCACUGGUGUUCGGGUUGUCAUGCCAAUGGCACUGCCCGGUAGCUAAAUGCGGAAGAGAUAAGUGCUGAAAGCAUCUAAGCACGAAACUUGCCCCGAGAUGAGUUCUCCCUGACUCCUUGAGGGUCCUGAAGGAACGUUGAAGACGACGACGUUGAUAGGCCGGGUGUGUAAGCGCAGCGAUGCGUUGAGCUAACCGGUACUAAUGAACCGUGAGGCUUAACCUUACAACGCCGAAG